Molecule: long non-coding RNA, 957 nt
Organism: Medicago truncatula (barrel medic)
Lineage: Eukaryota; Viridiplantae; Streptophyta; Magnoliopsida; Fabales; Fabaceae
Exons: 2
Source: RefSeq, a predicted model, not a curated record
UUUUUGGGACUUCUGAGUAGUUUUUACAUUGCAGUGGAAAGUGUGAGUGUGCACUCUUUGGUGAUUAUGUUGACAUCCUUAGCAAGUUGAUGUUGAAGGUUGAGAACGGAUUGCUUGUUCUUUUGGUGCAGUUUGCAAAAGUGAAGAUCUUUCGUGAGAAAGCUUCCCUUCAGAAUGUUAUUAAUACAACCCGCAUAGUGUUGGAUCCUCCAAUUGAAGAGACCUUGCAGAUCAGGUAGUGGUUUUUGUUUUUGUGCAAUCCAUUGUAUGUGUGUUACUAUUUCUUCUCAUUUAUUUUUGUAUCUCUUACAUAUGCUUUUAUGUUUCAGUGUUUUGGUUGUAGGUGUGAGUUUGUCCUCUCUCCCCAAACUUGAAUCACGCACGAGGGCAUCUAUUAAGGAUGAUUUCCUUACUAUGUAUCCUAGGAAGACUUUGUCCCAGCUCAUAGCUUCUCUUGAGGAUGGUUUGUUUAUUGUCUCUACGACUAUUGAUGGAUUGGUUGAUGGCGAGGAUUGGUGGUAUCCUGCCUGUAAAUGACAUAGGAGCGUUACACCUUAUUCUGGUGCCUAUUACUGCAAGGAUUAUGUUAAGCACGUUUUCCAUAUGGUUCCAAGGUGUUUACUCUUUGUUGUUUGGUUUUCCAUUCAUAAUAUCUUCAACGGUUUCUUCUUUGUUAGUGACACUUUCUUUGCAGGUACCAGGUGAAGCUUAAAGUUAGCGAUUCUCAUGCUGAUGCUGUCUUUGUUGUUUUUUACGGUGAUAUGUAGAAUUUUCUUGAUGUUCCUUGCAGUAUCCUGGUUUCUCUUCCCAAGGUUUUGUUAUUUGCUCAUCCUUUCCUAUUUGUGAUGUAAUCUGUAAAUCUGUAAUUUGCAAUAUUGGGAAUAUUUUUAAUUUCUUAUUUGUAAUACCCUUUGUGACUAUAAAUUUCAAAUAUAAAUUUUUCAAAUUUGUUGAUCA